Small nucleolar RNA from Parasteatoda tepidariorum (common house spider), 69 nucleotides. RefSeq annotates it as small nucleolar RNA SNORD61. The record is from RefSeq and is a predicted model, not a curated record. NCBI's taxonomy places the organism in Eukaryota, Metazoa, Arthropoda, Arachnida, Araneae, Theridiidae.
GCCAUGAUGAUCUCAAAAGAAUGAUUCGAACUGAUUAAAUUAUUAAUUCCUCUAAGAAGAUCUGAGCUA